Molecule: ribosomal RNA, 468 nt
Filed under: uncultured bacterium
Lineage: Bacteria
Description: partial 16S ribosomal RNA
Rfam family: Bacterial small subunit ribosomal RNA
Source: RNAcentral
GACGAACGCUGGCGGCGUGCUUAACACAUGCAAGUCGAACGGAAAGGCCCUGCUUUUGUGGGGUGCUCGAGUGGCGAACGGGUGAGUAACACGUGAGUAACCUGCCCUUGACUUUGGGAUAACUUCAGGAAACUGGGGCUAAUACCGGAUAGGAGCUCCUGCUGCAUGGUGGGGGUUGGAAAGUUUCGGCGGGUGGGGAUGGACUGGCGGCUUAUCAGCUUGUUGGUGGGGUAGUGGCUUACCAAGGCUUUGACUGGUAGCCGGCCUGAGAGGGUGACCGGCCACAUUGGGACUGAGAUACGGCGCAGACUCCUACGGGAGGCAGCAGUGGCGAAUAUUGCACAAUGGGCGGAAGCCUGAUGCAGCAACGCCGCGUGCGGGAUGACGGCCUUCGGGUUGUAAACCGCUUUCGCCUGUGACGAAGCGUGAGUGACGGUAAUGAGUAAAGAAGCACCGGCUAACUACGUG